CCCCCCCCCUUCCCCCCCCCCCCCCCCCCCCGCCGCGGUGAUUCAUUGCCGCCCCCAUCUUUCCCCUCUUAUCUGAUUCAUCGCCGCCCCCAUCGUGGUGGAUCACCACCACCGACGGUAGGCAAAUUGCUGUACUCCUAUUAAGGCCACUGUGUGAGGGAGGACGCUGCAUCUGCUGAGGUCCUGGUACCGUCUCUCCGUCUCUAUCUCGUUGCCACCUUCGCCUCACCACGGGUAGAAAGGUCACUGUCGAUCCAUAACGCCGUGCAGUCUUCGUGCCAACAACGAGAAUCACCCCUGCCGCUCCGCCUGCCUGAUCUCCACCGCCAGACACCGUUGCCCGUCUCCACUCCUCGUCGCCCGCCUCGGUUGUCUCCUCCCAUCCUCCGCGCCGCCCCCGAUCUCCACCGCUAGGACACCGUCGCCUGCCUUGUCGACCAACUCACGGAUCUCUGAUUCGCACAAAGUAAAGCGCGUGACAUCAUCUGGUACGAACCAAACAACCCCUGCACGCACGCCCGCGGCGCAUCUCCUCCCGAGCCCCGGCAACAAGCUCGCCACCGCAGCGCAUCAGGGCACCGGGCACAGAGCAUCUCUUGCUGCUCAGCACCUCCGGCCGCCACCUCCCGAAGCGGCUGGUGGAGGUCGAGUGCGGGGAUCCAGGCCUGAGGAGCUGCUCCACUGCUGGCGGUCGUCGGCCGGCUGACGCGCCGAUCCAUCCGGGGCCAUCGGUCCGUGACCAUCCCGAAUUGUGGUAUCUGGCGGCACCAGCGCCAUCACCGCCCCCAAUGGCAGCUGCGAAGCUCACCGCCUCUGCUGUGUUUAGGAGCAACCAGGAGCUCACGUCGCUGGCGCGCUCGGGCCAGCUGGCCGCCGCGCGCCGCCUGUUCGAGGAGAUGCCCCGCCGCAACGUGGUCUCCUACAACGCGAUGGUCUCCGCGCUGGCCCACCACGGCCGCCUCGCCGAGGCGCGCAGGCUGUUCGACGAGAUGCCGCGCCGCAACCCCGUGUCCUGGAACACCAUGAUGGUGGCAUGCUCUCAGCACGGGCGCGUCGAGGAUGCGCGAGGGCUAUUCGAUGCAAUGCCCGCCCGAAACGAGUACUCCUGGACAAUCAUGGUAUCCUGCUACGUGCGGGCUGGUGAGCUCACCCUCGCAAGGGAGCUGCUCGACCGCAUGCCCGGGGAGAAGUGCGCGGCGUGCUACAACACCAUGAUCUCCGGGUAUGCCAAGAACGGCAGGUUUGAGGAUGCAAUUGCUUUGUUGCAGGAGAUGCCGGCCCCUGAUAUUGUUUCAUGGAACUCAGUGUUGGGGGGGCUCAUCCGGAAUGAGGAAAUCUCUCGAUCAGUGCAGUUCUUUGAUGAGAUGCCAGAUAAGGACUUGGUGUCCUGGAACUUGAUGCUAGAGGGGUAUGUGCGUGCUGGGGAUUUGGAUGUGGCCAGUGCAUUCUUUUCAAGGAUCCCCUCACCUAAUGUUAUUUCUUGGGUUAACUUGGUCAAUGGGUAUUGUCAGGCAGGGAGGAUGGGCGAGGCAAGAGAAUUGUUUGAUAGAAUGCCUGAGCGUAAUGUUGUGGCUUGGAAUGUGCUGCUUUCUGGGUAUGUGCAGUUCUCUCAGGUGGAGGCGGCCUAUAAUCUGUUUAUAGAGAUGCCAGAGAAGAAUUCAAUCUCAUGGACAACGAUGGUGAGUGGUUUUGUACGUUCUGGGAAGCUCCAAGAAGCGAAGGAUGUGCUCAGCAAGAUGCCUUCCGACAAUGUCGGAGCAAAGACUGCACUGAUGCAUGGCUAUUUGAAAAGCAACCUGAUUGAUGACGCCCGUCAACUAUUUGAUGGAAUUGUGGUUCGGGAUGCAGUGUGCUGGAAUACAAUGAUAUCAGGAUAUGUUCAGUGUGGUAUGCUUGAUGAGGCCAUGGUUUUAUUCCAGCAAAUGCCGAACAAGGAUAUGAUUUCUUGGAACACCAUGAUUGCUGGCUGUGCUCAGGGUGGACAAAUUCGCAAGGCAGCCAGUAUUUUCAGGAAAAUGAAGAGGAGAAAUACAGUUUCAUGGAAUUCAAUUAUCUCUGGAUUUGUUCAAAAUGGUCUAUUUGUUGAAGCACUGCAGCAUUUUAUGCUUAUGAGAAGGGAUGCAAAGAGCGCUGACUGGUGUACAUAUGCAUGUUGUCUAAGUGCAAGUGCAAAUUUGGCUACUCUGCAAAUAGGGAGACAAUUCCACAGUCUUCUUGUCAGGACUGGGUUUAUCAGUGAUUCUUCUCCUGGAAAUGCCUUGAUUUCUGCCUAUGCUAAGUGUGGAAGGAUGUUGGAAGCAAGACAAGUCUUUGAUGAGAUGGUAGUACAAGACAUCGUUUCAUGGAAUGCACUCAUCGAUGGCUAUGCUUCUAAUGGUAAUGGGUCUGAGGUGAUAGCAGUAUUCCGGGAAAUGGAAGCUAACAGUGUCAGACCUGAUGAGAUCACGUUGGUAGUUGUGUUAUCAGCUUGCAGUCAUGCUGGGUUAAUUGAUGAAGGAUUGCAUUUCUUCAAUUCGAUGAUAAAAUUGUACUCGUUAAAGCCUGUGGCUGAGCAUUAUACCUGUAUGGUUGAUCUUCUUGGAAGAGCUGGGAGACUAAGAGAGGCAUUUGAACUUGUUCAGGGAAUGCAGAUCCAACCAAAUGCUGGUGUCUGGGGUGCAUUGCUUGGAGCAUGCCGCGUACACAAGAAUCACGAGAUAGCAUGGCUUGCAGCUGAGAAGUUAUUUGAAUUGGAACCUUGCAAGGCCUCAAAUUAUGUCUUGCUGUCAAACAUCUGUGUGGAGGCAGGGAAAUGGGAUGAUGCUGACAAGGUGAGGGUUUUGAUGAAAGAGAGGUGUGUAUACAAGCCACCUGGAUUAGCUGGAUCAAUGUAGUCAGUACUCUUGGAUAUAACGAUCAGUACUCCUGGAUAUAUAUAACAAGGAAUCACAAGGCCGAGCCCAUCAGCAGCAGGGGCACAGGCGCACAGCAUGGGGAAGUUGGCAGCAGCACCACCAAGAAGGGUGACCACCAUCGUGCCACUGCAAGCCCGAUGGAAUUGAAGUGGGAGGCUGCAAGCAGCAUAAGAACAAAAGGGAACCUAUCAGCUCCUCAAUCAAGUACUUCCGUAUUUUGUUCUAUCAAAUUUUUGGACCAACAAAGCUUUGGAUGCUCAUGCAUAAUAAUUUGCAGCAUAUUACGAUCAUGCAAUAUUCAUAUCAGCAAUAAAAUGUUGGAUAAUUCUGGAUAUAGGUGUUAUGGAGCUUCCUGGAAGCCUAGGCAUUGUUUGUGGAAGUGGCAAGAACAAAAGGAUUUCAAGGCAUUGCUUGAGCUAUCUUUGGAGUUUGGAUCCAAGGUGGAAAUCAGAAGGGCGUUUCAGAAAAGGAUACUGUCAAGUUCUAGAAAUCGUACUUGAAAGAUGAUGCAGUGCAACAAUACGAUGAUCAUGGGCUCAUGGAUGGCAGAAUAAAACAAUGAG
Molecule: non-coding RNA, 3457 nt
Organism: Oryza sativa Japonica Group (Japanese rice)
Lineage: Eukaryota; Viridiplantae; Streptophyta; Magnoliopsida; Poales; Poaceae
Source: RefSeq, a predicted model, not a curated record